This 71-nucleotide transfer RNA is filed under the name Sphaerodactylus townsendi. RNAcentral's name for it is "tRNA-Ala". Lineage: Eukaryota; Metazoa; Chordata; Lepidosauria; Squamata; Sphaerodactylidae. The record is from RNAcentral.
AUAAUUGUGGCUCAGUGGUAGAGUCCCUGCUUUGCAUGCAGAAGUCCCAGAUUCAGUUCUAGGCAUUUGCA